CACUCAUUCAUUUAUUUUUGGCAACUUUGUAAAUGAAAAUGAAUAGCUUGGAGAGAGAGAGAGAGAGAGUGUGUGUGUGUGUGUGUGUGUGCGCACACAUGUGCGGGUAUGUAUAAUUGCAGCCACCUACUGGUUACCAUGACAAACUACAGGAUGAAGAUGGGAGAAAAAGGGUCAGGGAGGGAAGGCAGAGCUCCAGCCAGCCAGGCCUUCCCUGGGGCAAGAAACAGACACAUUACACAUUACACAAAUCUGCUUUUAUUAUAUUAAAAUGUGUUCAUAAUUCCUUUCGAUUAUGUUAGGGAAAUUCCCGUUCAACUCCCAUAACCUUUAGGAAACUCACCAUAAUUCACAGACCAUUGGCACCCCCUGAUGUGUCUCAGCUAAAUUGGGUUCACCGAAGGGGAACAAGGACUCUGGGGAAGAGGGGCUGGGGCUAGGUGGGAGGUGGGAGCUGAUGAGAAGCAAGAUUGUUGCAUCCCUGGGAAGAUGACAUCAAUGAUCUGCUAACUGUAGCAAAAACCAUUUGGGUUGUGAUGUAAAUUAUCAAGAGUUUGGUGGGAGCCAGCCCUGAUGGCUUAGUGGUUAAAGUUUGGCACACUCUGCUUUGGUGGCCCAGGUUUGGUUCCCGGGCCCAGAACCACACCACUCAUCUGUCAGUAGUCAUGCUGUGGCAGCGGCUCACACAGAAGAACUAGGAGGAGCUACAACUACAACAUACAACUAUGUACUGGGCUUUGGGGUGGGAAAAAAAAAAGAGAGGAAGGGACCAGCCCCAGUGGCCUAGUGGUUAAGUUCAGCGUGAUCUGCUUCAGCAGCCUGGGUUCAGUUCCCAGGUAUGGACCCACACGACUCUGUUAGCAGCAAUGCUGUGCUGGUGGCUCACAUACUAAAAAAUAGAGGAAGAUUGACAAUAGAUGUUAGCUCAGGGUGAAUCUUUCCCAGGGGGAAAAAAUUGUAGAUUUUAAAAAACAAAGAAGUAAUAAGGAGUUUGGUGGGGGGAAGGGCUGGGAAGAAAACACCUAUUUAGAAGAGAGGAUAAGGCACUGGAGAACCGUCCUUGGAUGGAGGGCCGGUCCAUGCCGGGUGAAGAAGACCAUCGAGGGAAACCUCCUGUAGCCUGGAGGUUCAGGUCAGCUUGGUGCUGAUUGAGCUCAUCCUGGGUGAAAAGGGGGAGGUGGUGACACAGCCCAGGAGGUGCUGGUGCCAGGUGACUUCAAGACUUAGAAGCUGCAGAUGAGAGAGGGAAGAUGAUUUCGUUAGAGGCAUCUCGGGGAAUGCGUGAGCAGAAGUGAUGAUGUGGAGAAAAUAGCCCUCCAGAUGAAAAUUCAGCACAAUGUUCCUUACCACAUCCUAUUCCGGGAGAUGGCUCAUCCUUGCAGCCAUCUCAGCUCACUUGGAAUUCACAAGCCCACUCAGGUCCCCUUGUACCCCUUCUUACCUGGAUGGACACAGAGCUUGUCGAGUCUCAGCUGCCACCUCCCCAAACCUCUCAGAGGCAGGCCGCGGGAAGACAAUUCCCAAUGUGGAUGGGAAAAACUCUGUCCUUAAAAGGAAAGGACCAUCCUGGACAAAGAUUCAGAGUUGCCUUCAGAGUGUGCUUACUUUCUGUGCGCGGUCCUUACCAUGCUCCAGGGGAAUCUUGGCCUCUCUGUCUUAAGAGAUUCCUCAUGCCCAAGGACAGAGGUCUUCCCUGGCCUGUUGGUUGCUGUGGCCUGAGGAGCUCUCUUAUCCCAGGGGCCAGGGAUCGUGACUCAGCAUCCUCCUGGGGCUAUGGGGCCUGAGUCCAGCGGAACUCUAGAAAUCGUGCUGUUGAGGACUAGCUCAGUGUAGGGGCUGGUGCCGACAGUCCUCCAACUCUCUCUCUUUCUUCCUCCAUGCCUUUCCUCUUUCCAGGGUUGGCCCUCAGAACUACAGACUUUUGCUUCCCAUCCUUGGGAUGUGACAGAAGCAACUGAGCACAUACACACCCUGAAACUCUUGCUACCAUAGCCAGUAAAAGGAAGUAAAGAAUUUCUUAAGACGCAAACACCAUGAACCUUAAAGGGAAGGAUUGAAAAAGUAUUUGACUACAUUAAGACAAAAAACUUCAGUUUUCACAUACUUCUAUUUCAUCUCAAAUAAGUGAAAACACAACUCAAAGACAGAGAUAAUAUAUUAGCAAUAUGUAUUGCUGACAGAAAUUUGGUGUUAAGAAUAGAUAAAUAUUGCAUAUAAAUCCGUAAGAGAAAGACAAACAACACAACAGAAAAAUGGGUCAAGAAGAGGAAUAGGCAGUUCACGGAAGAGGAAGCUUCAGUGGCUGGUAAACUCAUGACAAUUUGCUCAACCUCACCAGCAAUCAGAGAAAUGCAACCAGAAACAAAGAUGCCAUUUCAUACUGGCUGAGAGAAACACGUUUCUUCCCCAAUCCUGAUGUUGACUUUAAAAAGGAAGAUUGCCCUAAAUAUUCACAGCCUCUUGUCUUACCCUUCCCCCUCCCCAUGGAGAUGGAAUGAGUUACCUAGUUGGGGGGGUCUUUGGCCCAUGUUUUUCUGCUGGGUGGAACUUAUCUAAAAAAGAUCCUGAAUGCAAGGAGUUUGGUCUCUUUUGCUCUCCCUCGCCACCUAAACCAGCACGAUCCAGCAGCCCAGCAUCCUCAAAUAGAGCACGAUAAGAUGAGACUCGAAGACUCAAGACGUGGCAGUGACAUUUUUGUAAAAGGUGAAAGACAGAAAGUAAAAGUUCACAGACAACUGAGAAAUGUUGAAAAUUUCUCCCAGCGUUGGAUAUUGUAUCAAUGAAGAACUGCCAUCAGACAACAUUGCAACAGGUUGCCUGCAGGAAAAUGAAAACAGAACUGUAGGAUUUGAUGCACCUCUGUGAUUCCUCUUGGCAGCAGAUUUUGCCUCUUUCUCAGACCAAAAAUAUCAGGGUGAGACCCAGAGAGCUGCCUGAGAGACCAACAAACCAUAUGGGACUAUAAGCUGCGAAGAACCAACGUGGACUUCGAUUUAGUGCAGAAGUGCUGCCACAUCUGUGGGUGAGCCCGGGAUGUUUCUGUUCUUAAGGAGCCCAGACACCAUCUAACCUGAGACCACCUCCCGCAAACUGCCCCCCACCAUGAACUUCUAAAUUCUUCGUCUUUUCUGACAAAUUUCACACUCAUUUUAGUUAGUACUUAAAGUUAAAAUACAACAUUUAUGUGUGGUUGGGUCCAUUGCUGCAUGAUUUAUAAUUCUCAAAGACUAGGGGGAGGUGAGCUAUGCAAUAAAGGGAAAUUGGCUAAAUAAAUUAUAGCAUGCCUACAUCCUGGGAUACAGGCAGCCUUUAAAGAGGUUCUUGGAGAAUAUUUAAGUUCAUGAUAUAGAUAGAUAGAUAGAUAGAUAGAUAGAUAGAUAGAUAGACAUAGAUAUAAAUAUAUAGAGAUGUAGAUAUAAAUUAGCAUAUAAUAUAUAUAAAAUUAGUGUCAAACAUUUCAUAUUUUACCCUUUAGAGUUGUCCUUAAGAAAAUACAACCACUCUAAAAACAGAGCUGAAUGUACUCGAUAAAGGAUUUCUCCUUUCGUGUCAGUUUGGAGAAGUUACAACCAUCCUAAAUCUCAAUAAGAGAGCCUUGUGCAGGACUGACAGCAGGGUUAUCAUCUACAGCAGACACUUCAGAAAACUUUAAAACUUUCUCUCCUUCUUUGCCCUGAAAGAGCAACCAAUGAGUAACUCAGAUAACACCAUCUAAGAGUUCAGGAAAUUUUAACUCAUAAAACAUUGUUAAAUGAAAAAAAAAAAUCAUGCUACAGUUUGUACAGUAAGAUCCCCAUUCUAUAAAAAAUAACAAAAGAAAAACUUUACGUACUUGUGUCUGAAGAUAUAUGCAUAUGAAAAAGUCUGAAAAGGAGAGCACAAAUGGACCCCACAGUGGACACCUUUUUUCCGUGUUGAUGCCAUCUCUGAACUUAGGGACUUGUAGAGGGUAGAAAGAUCCAGAAAAACACAACAGAAAAGCCAAACACAACCCAGGGAGGAGCUGAGUAGAGAACAGGGUGCUGGCAGACACUGGUUCAGGGCAUUUGGGGCCUAAUAGGCCUGGGUUCAAAUUCAGACCUGUCACUUACCAGGUGAUACUGUGGGCAAGCUACUUUUCUCUCUAAGCUGCAAUGUCUUCAUCUGGAAAAUAGGGUUUAUAAUGCCCACCUUGCAGUGCUAUCUGAGCAUAAAAGCACUAAUAUUGUAAAAUGUUUAGCAAAAUGGCUGGCAUAGAGGCAGGGCUCAGUCAGUGGGAGUAGGGUUUUUAAAAACCAACUUCAUUGAGGUGUAAUUUGCAUACAAUAAAAUGCACCAGGCCCCACAAAUCAUGUAGCUGUAGCCUGUCCUACCAUCACCAUAGAUUAGAUUUGCCUUUUCAAUGGUUUGAUAUGAAUGGAAUCAUAAGGAUGUGCUUCUUUCACUUGGCCUAAUGUUUUUGAGAUUCACCUAUGUUGUUGCCUGUACCAUCAGCUUAAUUCCUAACAGCCCCAAACUGGCAGCUCUCUCAAUGUCUAUCAGCAGGUGCAUGGUGUGUAGUAAAGAAUUAACCAGAGACAUGUCUGGCCUUUGCUUUCGGCUACUGGGAGGGGAUCUGUAGGCCCCUGGGAUGUCCUGCCUCCUAGAACUGUCUUUGUUUUCCUGGGGGCUCGGUCACCCAACAGUCUAACAAUGUGAUCUAUGAGGUGGGUUGGGACACACCACGUCAGCUCCAACCUCUGGGAGCAGCUGGAGACUGAAGGUCAGCCAUAUGGGCACUAUGUGAUCAAGCCUCAGUAAAAACUCUGGACACCAAAGUGCAGGUAAGCUUCCUGGUUUAGCAAUAUUCUGUGCAUUUUGUCACACAUUGAUGCCAGGAGGGUAACACAUCCCUGAGGACAUGGGAACUUCAUGUUUGAAGCCCUCCCAGAUUCUGCCGUAUGUGCUGGCACCUUUGGCUGGUUCUAAUUUGUAUCCCUUUGUUAUAAUAAAAUUGUGAUUCUAAGUAUAGCACUUUCCUGAGUUCUAUGAGUUGUUCUGGCAAAUUAUUGAAUCUCAGGGUGGCUGUGGAGACUCCUAAAUUUG
This 5064-nucleotide long non-coding RNA is filed under the name Equus caballus (horse). RNAcentral describes it as "lncRNA (ENSECAG00000045488.1)". Lineage: Eukaryota; Metazoa; Chordata; Mammalia; Perissodactyla; Equidae. The record is from RNAcentral.